Molecule: ribosomal RNA, 460 nt
Filed under: uncultured bacterium
Lineage: Bacteria
Description: partial 16S ribosomal RNA
Rfam family: Bacterial small subunit ribosomal RNA
Source: RNAcentral
CCUACGGGGUGCAGCAGUGAGGAAUAUUGGUCAAUGGCCGGAAGGCUGAACCAGCCAUGCCGCGUGAAGGUCAGUGCCCUAUGGGCGUUAAACUUCUUUUGUGCGGGAGCAAUAAUGGUCACGUGUGGCCAGACGAGAGUACCGUACGAAUAAGCAUCGGCUAACUCCGUGCCAGCAGCCGCGGUAAUACGGGGGAUGCAAGCGUUAUCCGGAUUUAUUGGGUUUAAAGGGUGCGUAGGCUGUGAGGUAAGUCAGCGGGGAAAUGCCCCGGCUCAACGGGGUGAAGUGACAUUGAUACUGCCUUGCUGGAAUGCGGAUGCCGUGGGAGGAAUGUGUGGUGUAGCGGUGAAAUGCAUAGAGAUCACACAGAACACCGAUUGCGAAGGCAUCUCACGAAUCCGCGAUUGACGCUGAUGCACGAAAGCGUGGGUAUCAAACAGGAUUAGAUACCCCUGUAGUC